UAUAUUUUAAUGUAUGAGGCAUAUAAAUUUUUGAAAUUUAUAGAUAUAGUUAAAUUCUAUAAAAUUAA
This 68-nucleotide transfer RNA is filed under the name Phryganopsyche latipennis. RNAcentral describes it as "tRNA-Gln". Lineage: Eukaryota; Metazoa; Arthropoda; Insecta; Trichoptera; Phryganopsychidae. The record is from RNAcentral.